GACGCGUCUGUCUUCCCAGCACUCUCUUCGUCCCGAGAGCUAAGUAGUAACGCGAGAAUUCAGCCCAACAUUUAGGGAGCUCGCGAGAGUGGCGAGUUCUUUUUCUUCCAUACGGUUGGAGAUGAGAACAGUUUUAAGUCAAAACAGAAGUGAUGGAUAAAUCAGGAAUGGAUUCCCUUGACUGUCUGGUGUCUGAUGCAGCUGUGGAAGUUGAAAACCAAAGUGAUGACUCCUCAUCUGGUAGCAGCUUAUUUAAAACCCAGUGUGUUACUUCCCCACCUAAAAGAAGGCAAAGAAACCCUACUAGAAAAUUUGUUCAUUCACCUGAAAGUGUUACAGAUUCAUCAAGUGAUUCAUCUAUGGAACCAAAACCAUUGACAUUAAAAGCUAUUUUUGAAAGAUUUAAGAAAAAGAAACGAAGAAAGAGGAAGAGAAAGUACAAGCCAAAAUUAAGAACAAAGGAAGAGCCAGAAGGAAGAAGAAAAACCAAGAGGUCACAAAUAGAUAAGAAACAAAUUAAAAAUAAAGGAUCUAGACUCCCAUUUUUACAAUCUGAGAAUGAAAGAAAACCAUUACCUUGGAGAAAAAUUUUAGCCUUUGAGCAAGCUGUUGCAAGAGGAUUUUUUAACUACAUUGAAAAAUUGAAGUAUGAACACCACCUUAAGGAAUCCUUGAAGCAAAUGAAUGUUAGUGAAGAUUUGGAAAAAGAAGAUCUUGAUAGUCGUAGAUACAAAUAUUUGGAUGAUGAUGGAUCAAUUUCUCCUAUUGAAGAGUCUGUAGCAGAUGAGGAGACAGCACAUCUUGAACAUGAAUGUGAUAUCAAGUUGGUAGAGGAUAGUUGUUUUAUAGUAAGUUCUGACUUCCCAAAGAAGACAAACAUAUCUAGAGCAUGAGAAUAAUAAUAAAGAAACUGCUUUUUCUAAAAAGCGAGCUUCUAAUGCCAAAAAUAUUGGACAGAAUACAGAGUGCCCUUAAAGGAGAUGAACUCAAAGCGGGCUGUCUUCAGAAAAUGUUGCAUUGGUUUGAAGAUAUUUUAACUGGUGUAAGUAUAUUAGAUUAAUUCAUUUUAAUGAGAUACUUGUGGCUUUAUUUAAUUUUGAAUUAUGACAUUGACUGCCAGAAAGCAAUCUUGGAUUCAAAUAUUUUAUAGUGCUGAAGUACUAGUUUCAUUUUACUUGGGAAGUUUUCUUGGGAAGUCUUAAAACAUGGUUUCCCAGUUCAAGUAUACUCAAUAUUUAAAAGGGAGGAUGAAAUUCAAUAGUUAUCUAUACAAGUUACAAGGUUUCAUAAAUAAGAAUGAUAAAAAUUUAUCAAAUUUAUUUUCUUAUUUUGUCUGCUCACAGCAUAGCCACAUAAAAAAGGAGGAGAUAUCUUAUGUACGUAAUAUCUUAUGUAUCUAAGAAUCAUUAAAUUCAUUAGACUGGUCUAUUUAAGAUGAAAAACAUGUUAAGAACCAAACUUCUGCCAGGCACACUGGCACAUGUCUGUAAUCCCAGUGGUUCUGGAGGCUGAAACAGGAGGAUUGCAAGUUCAGAGUCAGCUUCAGCAAUAGCAAGGUGCUAAGCAACUCAGUGAGACCCUGUCUCUAAAUUAAAAAAUACAACAUAGGGCUGGGGGAUGUUUAGUGCUCCUGAGUCAAAUACCCUGGUACUCCCCCCAACCCCCCCUCAAAAAAACUACUAUAAUUUAUACUUACUCCUAAAAGUCACCUACUUGAUGGUACUUUUGGCUCCUACAUAGCUUGGUACAAAUCCAUGCCAUGGGACUAUAAAAUUAUUGCAUUUGAGGUAAUGGAUAGAUAUGGGAAUUCUAGGACUUGCACAUGGUAGACAAGUGGCUGUACUCUUAAGCUAUACCCUACACUCUUGAAAUUAGUUCUUUUUUGUGAUUAUAAUGAAAGUAGCUUUUUUUUUUUUUUUCAUUUUUAACUAUAGUUCCUUUGUGCAUCAGAAAUUCUUGCUAAUCAUUGUUUUCCUCUGGAGUCUUCCAUUUAUCUAAACACUGGUUGAGGUCUAUCCCGAUGGGGCUUCUCUUGUAGCCACUCGUCGUUGGAAACGCCUCAUAGAGUAAUUCUGUGGUUUUGCUUUCCUCAUAGGACUGUUUGUUAGGCCUGUGGGAAGUAACUACAAGACAAUUAAAAAGUAUGAAAGACCUAAUUUUUCUUUUUUAUUUUAGAUAUUGGCAUAUUCCACAUCUGCAGUACUGAGUGUGAUAAUAGGUAAGUUUGUAGGAUUCAAUAUAAUCCUUUGGAAUGCCAUUACAGUUCAAAUGAUGAAUUUAACUGUUCAACUGCUGAAUGACACAGAUAUGAACUAAAACUUUAUUCUGACAGAGCUGAAUGAAUAUGUGUCUGCACAUGAAACUUCCCUUAUGUUUUGGUUUUUAUAUUAGAAUAUUUAUAGUGUCCCUCACUAAAUUUUUCAUUUGGUAAUUUCUCUAUAGGAGUGAAUAUGAUUUGAACUUGGUGAUUUUUAUGUUAGAGAAGUAAGUGAAAUUUUUACUAAUUUAUUAAGGACUUGAAGAUCUUAGGCAUUCUAACAUUACAUGAAGUAUUUCCUACUUCCUCCUUUGUAUUACAUGACAGCUCUCUACAUGAUACCAUGUUUGCCUGGAUUUGUUGAUUCAAUAGGAAAUGAAAGGCAUUCUGACAAACGAAAGGCUUUGACAAUUUGAGCAAGUGACAUUGACAUUUCUAGUGUGGGAAUGGGACUCAGGGCCUUAUACCCUACUCAGUAUUUAGAGAGGCUGGAUCAUUUAAGAGUUUUUUGUCUUUAUACAUACAUGUACUUUUUUUGCGUUACAAUUAUUACACAUAUAUACCAGAUCAGUAGAGUUCUUAAAGGUAGUUUCCUCAUCACAUUUCUUGGCAGCAGCACAACAGACUUGGGAAUAGAGGGAACAGUUUAGUCUCUGCACUGCAUGGUAUCUGCACUCAGCAGUUUCUUCCUGCUGGCGUGUUCAAAGGACAGUGCAAUAGAAAUUCAGUAUCUGGCAUCGUUGGUUUUCUUGGCUUUGUGCAUGUUAAACCUGGUAUUUCUAUUGAUACAGCAUUUUUAUAGGUAUUUGUUAGUUCAUUUAUUUAAUAGUCUUAAAUGGUGAAUUAUGCUUUUCUUUUUGUAAGGUGUCAACACUUGAGAACCAAGCAGAUCCAUCUAUAUCCCAAAGUAUAAGGCUUUGUUGAUAUUGCUUCUGGCUGUUUGUUUUCUCCUAUUUGGAUCCUAAAGUCAAAUUACUUGAAGAAAUUAAAUCCUGAGUAACUUAGGUAAGAUUUUUACUAGUUACAAAAAGGAAGUCUAAUAAUCAUAUUGCACCCAAAUCAGAUUUUUCAGUAUUUAAUCAGUGCUCAACACUGAUUAGCUAUGUUAUGAUGAUGGGCAAUAUGUUCAACUGCUCUGAAUGGGCUGAAUGAAAAUAGCCUUUCUGAACAUCCACAUUUAAAUAUACUAUGUAUUUUCCAAAAUGGUUGUCCUUAUAAUGGUUAGUGAUCAGGGCAUUUUGGGUUCUCUAAAUGAUUGGAUGAUGACCGCAUUUUAAAUAUAAAUUUUUUCACAGGUGGAGAAUUGUGAAAUCAUCUG
Marmota monax (woodchuck) is the source of this 3575-nucleotide RNA transcript. It is a transcript of the gene named TATA-box binding protein associated factor, RNA polymerase I subunit D, with no coding region annotated. NCBI's taxonomy places the organism in Eukaryota, Metazoa, Chordata, Mammalia, Rodentia, Sciuridae. The record is from RefSeq and is a predicted model, not a curated record. The transcript has 8 exons.